This 224-nucleotide ribosomal RNA is filed under the name uncultured bacterium. RNAcentral's name for it is "partial 16S ribosomal RNA". It matches the Rfam family "Bacterial small subunit ribosomal RNA", at positions 328 to 539 of the family's 1533-position model. The record is from RNAcentral.
ACGCUCGACACCUACGGGAGGCAGUAGUAGGGAAUCUUCCACAAUGGGCGGCAAGCCUGAUGGAGCAACACCGCGUGAGUGAAGAAGGGUUUCGGCUCGUAAAGCUCUGUUGUUGGAGAAGAACGUGCGUGAGAGUAACUGUUCACGCAGUGACGGUAUCCAACCAGAAAGUCACGGCUAACUACGUGCCNGCAGCCGCGGUAAUCUGAGCGGGCUGGCAAGGC